This 253-nucleotide ribosomal RNA is filed under the name uncultured bacterium. RNAcentral's name for it is "partial 16S ribosomal RNA". It matches the Rfam family "Bacterial small subunit ribosomal RNA", at positions 524 to 776 of the family's 1533-position model. The record is from RNAcentral.
UACGUAGGGGGCAAGCGUUGUCCGGAUUUAUUGGGCGUAAAGAGCGUGUAGGCGGCCAGACAGGUCCACUGUGAAAACUCGAGGCUCAACCUCGAGAGGUCGGUGGAAACCGUCUGGCUAGAGUCCGGAAGAGGAGAGUGGAAUUCCCGGUGUAGCGGUGAAAUGCGCAGAUAUCAGGAAGAACACCCGUGGCGAAGGCGGCUCUCUGGGACGGUACUGACGCUGAGACGCGAAAGCGUGGGGAGCGAACAGG